Molecule: ribosomal RNA, 1488 nt
Filed under: Triticum aestivum (bread wheat)
Lineage: Eukaryota; Viridiplantae; Streptophyta; Magnoliopsida; Poales; Poaceae
Description: partial small subunit ribosomal RNA
Source: RNAcentral
AUGGAUCAAGGCCAGAGCAGCUCUGCUGCAGACCAGGGUGUCACCGUCACCGAGUCCCUGGUGACAGAGAUGGCCCAGAGGCUAAGAACUCCGGCGCCGGAGGUGGACGCUUCCGUCGUCUGCCUCAUCUCCUGGGCCGGCAGCGACGGCUUCGACCGCCGGGACUACGAACCGGCCAACGUGCGCAUCGGCCCGUUCCACCGGGAUCCUUCUCACCCGACGGAGAACGAGAAGAAGGACGCGCUCCACCACUUGCUCCCGCACGACGACGAGCAAGGGCGUGCAGACGAUCUCAACCAUUACCUGGACGAGAUGGCUCGCGUCGUGCCCCGUGCGAGGGGGUGCUACAGCCGAUGGUUCAGCACGAUCGACACGGAGGAGUUCAAGUGCAUGCUGCUGGUGGACGGAUGCUUCCUGCACUCGCGCUUCGUCCCCAGCAGAGCAGCACCAGCGCCCGUCAACGACGACAUCUCGGUCGACCGCGACAUCGUCUUCCUCCUCGAGAACCAGCUGCCCUUCUUCGUCCUGGUGGAGGUCCAGAAGCUGAUCACGGCUGAUGCCGAGGAUAACUAUUCCGUUGUCGUCGACAACGUCCUAGGGCGCUUCCAAGCGCUGGUCCGGCUUAACGAGUACAGCGCCGUCACGGUGCCCCGCCCCACUACUCCUCCUUGCCACCUUCUUCACCUGCUCCACAUGUACUUCCGGCCUACAUCCCUGCCCCUGAACGACGCCCCGGCUAUUCCUCGGACGAGGAGUGCCGUUGCUGCUGCGCCUACACCUUCGUCGCAGCCGGCUCAGAUCCCGAUGCUUCCUCUCCGCAACAACCAGGGCGCCGCUGCUAAUGGAAACGGCGCAGCCAAUGAGGUCAUCCCACCACCACCUGGAGCCCCCGUGCGCCAGACGCGUUGGCGCGCGGCGACGUACUACCACACAGCCGGCGUGAGGUUCAUGGAGCGGAAGGUCGGCAGCGGGGACGGGGAGGCGCGAUCCAUCCUGGACGUGGAGCGGAGAGGAGACUGGCUCCACAUCCCUAUUCUGGCGGUCGACAACAACACGUUCCGGAUGCUGCGCAACAUGGUGGCGCUGGAGCAGAACAGCCCGCAGCUUCGCAGCUCCCACGUCACGGCCUACUGCCUCUUCAUGUCGCAGCUGGCCAGCACCAAGGAAGACGUGGAGCUCCUCGUCGCCAAGGGGGUCAUCGUGCACCUGCUCCACAGCGCCGACGAUGUCGCGGCGAACCUGGCCGGGCUCUGCGACGGCGUUGUCCUCGACGCGUACAACCCGGACUUGUGCUACCUCAGGGCGGAGCAUGCGGCGCUCGAGGAGGUCUGCCGGGACGGCUGGAAGAAGUCCAAGGCGUGGCUGCGGCACACCAAGUGCAACAACUAUUUGAUGGGGCUGGCCGUCCUCGCGGGUGCCGGCCUCUUCUUUUGCACGGUGGAGCAAUCGGUCUUUGCUGCGCUAAGCUAUUUUCAAGGGAAAAAAUAA